CCUGGUUGAUCCUGCCAGUAGUUAUAUGCUUGUCUUGAAGAUUAAGCCAUGCAUGUCUAAGUAUAAACCACUUUAUACUGGUGCAACUGCAGAAGGCUCAUUAAAACAGUUAUAGUUUAUUUGAUGGUAACCUACUACAUGGAUAACCGUAGUAAUUCUAGAGCUAAUACAUGCAUAAAACCGGGCUUCACGGCUUUGGUUGUAUUUAUUAGACUAAAAACCAAUGCAAGUCCUUCGGGAUUUGGUUUUUUGGUGAAUCAUAAUAACUUUUCGAAUCGCACGGAUUUACUCUGGCGAUAGAUCAUUCAAAUUUCUGCCCUAUCAGCUUUCAAUCGUAGUGUAGUGGACUACGAUGGCUUUGACGGGUGACGGAGAAUUAGGGUUCGAUUCCGGAGAGGGAGCCUGAGAAACGGCUACCACAUCUAAGGAUGGCAGCAGGCGCGCAAAUUACCCAAUCGCGACACGCGGAGGUAGUGAAGAUAAAUAACAAUACCGGUAGUUUUUACUUCUGGAAUUGGAAUGAGAACAAUUUAAAUCCCUUAACGAGGAUCCAUUGGAGGGCAAGUCUUGGUGCCAGCAGCCGCGGUAACACCAGCUCCAAUAGCGUAUAUUAAAGUUGCUGCAGUUAAAAAGCUCGUAGUUGGAUAUCUGGAUCGGAUGCCUGGCCCGUAUCCUUCGGGGUAUUGUGUGCCGGUUAGCAUCUGAUUCAUCAUUCCGGACUAGGUGGGAGUGUAUUCUUUCGAGUUUAUACUCCUAUCAUAUGUCUGCAUCUUUUACUUUGAAAAAAUUAGAGUGUUCAAAGCAGGCAUUAUGCUUCUGAAUACGUUAGCAUGGAAUAAUAAAAUAGGACUUCGUUUGUUAAUGUGGUGGUUGGGCAACCGGCCAUCGCAUCAAUAUUAAUUCUAUUUUGUUGGUUUCUAGGAACGAAGUAAUGAUUGAUAGGGAUAGUUGGGGGUGCUUGUAUUGGACGGCCAGAGGUGAAAUUCUUGGAUUCGUUCAAGACAAACCUAUGCGAAAGCAUUCACCAAGGAUGUCUUCUUUAAUCAAGAACGAAAGUUGUGGGAUCGACGACGAUUAGAUACCGUCUUAGUCGCAACCAUAAACUAUGCCAACUAAGGAUCAGUGAACGUUGGUCUAGACUCCAUUGGCACUUUACGAGAAAUCAAAGUUUUUGGGUUCCGGGGGAAGUCUAGUCGCAAGGCUGAAACUUAAAGGAAUUGACGGAAGGGCACCACCAGGAGUGGAGCCUGCGGCUUAAUUUGACCCAACACGGGAAAACUUACCAGGUCCAGACAUAGUUAGGAUUGACAGAUUGCAGAUCUUUCAUGAUUCUAUGGGUGGUGGUGCAUGUCCGUUCUUAGUUGGUGGAUUGAUUUGUCUGGUUAAUUCCGAUCAACGAACGAGACCUCAGCCUGCUAAAUAGUUCGUCGGAAAUCCAUUUCCGCGUAACUUCUUAGAGGGACUGUCGGUUUCUAGCCGAAGGAAGUUUGAGGCAAUAACAGGU
Molecule: ribosomal RNA, 1504 nt
Filed under: metagenome
Description: SSU rRNA
Rfam family: Eukaryotic small subunit ribosomal RNA
Source: RNAcentral